CCUACGGGAGGCAGCAGGGGGGAAUAUUGGACAAUGGGCGCAAGCCUGAUCCAGCCAUACCGCGUGGGUGAAGAAGGCCUUCGGGUUGUAAAGCCCUUUUGUUGGGAAAGAAAUCCAGCCGGCUAAUACCUGGUUGGGAUGACGGUACCCAAAGAAUAAGCACCGGCUAACUUCGUGCCAGCAGCCGCGGUAAUACGAAGGGUGCAAGCGUUACUCGGAAUUACUGGGCGUAAAGCGUGCGUAGGUGGUUAUUUAAGUCCGUUGUGAAAGCCCUGGGCUCAACCUGGGAACUGCAGUGGAUACUGGAUGACUAGAAUGUGGUAGAGGGUAGCGGAAUUCCUGGUGUAGCAGUGAAAUGCGUAGAGAUCAGGAGGAACAUCCAUGGCGAAGGCAGUUACCUGGACCAACAUUGACACUGAGGCACGAAAGCGUGGGGAGCAAACAGGAUUAGAUACCCUGGUAGUCCACGCCCUAAACGAUGCGACGUGGUGUUGGUGCUAAUUUGGCACGCGAGUAUACGAGACUACGUACGUUACGUUACGUCCGCCGUCGGGUAGGUACGGUCGGCGACGAACGUAGUAACGUUACGAAAGUAGUUAAGUUAGUACGGCGUUGAGACGNGCGACGGACGACGACGAGGGAGGAGG
This 647-nucleotide ribosomal RNA is filed under the name uncultured bacterium. RNAcentral describes it as "bacterial SSU rRNA". The stretch from base 1 to 551 matches the Rfam family "Bacterial small subunit ribosomal RNA", at positions 338 to 873 of the family's 1533-position model. The record is from RNAcentral.